This 1481-nucleotide ribosomal RNA is filed under the name metagenome. RNAcentral's name for it is "bacterial SSU rRNA". It matches the Rfam family "Bacterial small subunit ribosomal RNA". The record is from RNAcentral.
AGAGUUUGAUCCUGGCUCAGGACUAACGCUGGCGGCGUGCCUAACACAUGCAAGUCGAACGGAAAGGCCAUAUACCCUUGUGGUAUAUGGUACUCGAGUGGCAAACGGGUGAGUAACGCGUAAGGAACCUACCUUUCAGACGGGGACAACCACGGGAAACCGUGGCUAAUACCGGAUACGUUCUUUUUAUCUCAUGGUAAGAAGAGGAAAUCAUUUAUGGCUGAAAGAUGGUCUUGCGUCCGAUUAGCUAGUUGGUAAGGUAAUGACUUACCAAGGCGAUGAUCGGUAGCUGGUCUGAGAGGAUGAUCAGCCACAUUGGGACUGAGACACGGCCCGGACUCCUACGGGAGGCAGCAGUGAGGAAUUUUGCGCAAUGGGCGAAAGCCUGACGCAGCGACGCCGCGUGGAGGACGAAGUCUUUCGGGAUGUAAACUCCUGUCAGUGGGGAAGAUAAUGACGGUACCCACAGAGGAAGCACCGGCUAACUAUGUGCCAGCAGCCGCGGUAAUACAUAGGGUGCAAGCGUUGUCCGGAUUUAUUGGGCGUAAAGCGCGCGUAGGUGGUAAGUUAAGUUGGAUUUAAAAGUCUGUGGCUCAACCAUAGUUUGGGUCCAAAACUGGUUUACUAGAGAGCAGGAGAGGGAAGUAGAAUUCACAGUGUAGCGGUGAAAUGCGUAGAUAUUGUGAGGAAUACCAGUGGCGAAGGCGGCUUCCUGGACUGCUUCUGACACUAAGGCGCGAAAGCGUGGGUAGCAAACAGGAUUAGAUACCCUGGUAGUCCACGCUGUAAACGAUGUUCAUUAGGUGUGGGAGGUUUCAAGACCUUCUGUGCCGUAGCUAACGCGUUAAAUGAACCGCCUGGGGAGUACGACCGCAAGGUUAAAACUCAAAGGAAUUGACGGGGGCCCGCACAAGCAGUGGAUCAUGUGGUUUAAUUCGAUGAUACACGAAAAACCUUACCAGCACUUGACAUCCAGAGAACUUUCUAGAGAUAGAUUGGUGCCCUUUUGGGAACUCUGUGACAGGUGGUGCAUGGUUGUCGUCAGCUCGUGUCGUGAGAUGUUGGGUUAAGUCCCGCAACGAGCGCAACCCUCGUCCUAUGUUGCUACCUUUUUGGAGCACCCUUAGGAGACUGCCUGUGGAAAACAGGAGGAAGGUGGGGAUGACGUCAAAUCAUCAUGCCCCUUACGUGCUGGGCUACACACAUGAUACAAUGGUCGGUACAAAGGGUUGCUAAGCCGCGAGGUGGAGCUAAUCCCAGAAAACCGAUCCCAGUUCGGAUUGUAGUCUGCAACUCGACUACAUGAAGUUGGAAUUGCUAGUAAACGCAGAUCAGCAAGCUGCGUUGAAUACGUUCCCGGGCCUUGUACACACCGCCCGUCACACCAUGAGAGCCGGAUAUACCCGAAGUCGGUGAGCUAACCGCAAGGAGGCAGCCGCCGAAGGUAGAGCUGGUGAUUGGGGUGAAGUCGUAACAAGGUA